UACGUAGGGUGCGAGCGUUGUCCGGAAUUAUUGGGCGUAAAGAGCUCGUAGGCGGUUUGUUGCGUCGGGUGUGAAAACCUGAGGCUCAACCUCAGGCCUGCAGUCGAUACGAGCAGACUAGAGUGUUGCAGGGGAGACUGGAAUUCCUGGUGUAGCGGUGAAAUGCGCAGAUAUCAGGAGGAACACCGGUGGCGAAGGCGGGGCUCUGGGCAGCAACUGACGCUGAGGAGCGAAAGCGUGGGGAGCGAACAGG
Molecule: ribosomal RNA, 253 nt
Filed under: uncultured bacterium
Lineage: Bacteria
Description: partial 16S ribosomal RNA
Rfam family: Bacterial small subunit ribosomal RNA
Source: RNAcentral